CGCCUGUUUAUCAAAAACAUUUCUUUUUAGAAAUAGAGAAGGUAAUCCCUGUUCAAUGAAAAUUAAAUAACCGCAGUAUAGAUUGUGCGAAGGUAGCAUAAUAAUUUUUUCUUUGAUUGAGAGGUAGGAUGAAGGGGUUAAUAAGAUGAUAUCUAUGUCAGCAUGAUGUGAUAAUUUUAUAAGAAGGUUAGAAUGCCUUUUAGUGUUAAAGGGACGACAAGACCCUAGAAACUUUAAAAGAUUAUCAUAGAAUUGAGAACUAUUUAACUGGGGCGGUUGUUAUUAAAAACAAUAAAAUUAGGACAUUAUGAAUGGUUUAUAUAAUCUUAGGUUAAGCAAGAAGGUUAAGUUACUCUAGGGAUAACAGCGUAAUAAAAUUUAAGAGUUCAUAUCGAAGAUUUUGUUGCGACCUCGAUGUUGAAUUAAAGUAGGCUAUCUGGAGUAGAAGAUAGAGGUAGUGAGUUUGUUCAACUCUUAAAGAUUUACAUGAUCUGAGUUCAAACC
Molecule: ribosomal RNA, 504 nt
Filed under: Glossobius impressus
Lineage: Eukaryota; Metazoa; Arthropoda; Malacostraca; Isopoda; Cymothoidae
Description: partial 16S ribosomal RNA
Rfam family: Bacterial large subunit ribosomal RNA
Source: RNAcentral